This 1187-nucleotide ribosomal RNA is filed under the name Apherusa jurinei. Its description in RNAcentral is "partial 28S ribosomal RNA". It matches the Rfam family "Eukaryotic large subunit ribosomal RNA", at positions 104 to 843 of the family's 3401-position model. Lineage: Eukaryota; Metazoa; Arthropoda; Malacostraca; Amphipoda; Calliopiidae. The record is from RNAcentral.
GAAGCCCAUCGCAUAACCUCCCGGGCUACCCAGCCUGCGGCGGAAUGUUGCGUAAAGGGAAAGGUCGUUUCAAAGCCCUGCACAGCGUGUACCUAAAUUUGGCUUGAGUGUUUCCACUGAUCUUUAACGGGAUCUACGGUACCACAGAGGGUGACAGUCCCGUCUGGCCACGUUAUACAUGUGCAUGGGUUCGGCCUCAUUCCCUGAGAGUCGCGUUGCUUGAGCAUGCAGCGCAAAGCAGGUCGUAAACUCGACCUAAGGCUAAAUACAUCCACAAAACCGAUAGUGAACAAGUACCGUGAGGGAAAGUUGAAAAGCACUCUGAAGAGAGAGUCAAAAGACCGUGAAACCGCUCAGUGUAUAAGCCGAUGGUUUUUGGAAAGCUGGGUCCGCGUGAGCCCCUGGGCGACCGUAUCGUUGUGUGUUGAGGUCCAAUGCCGUUGUGGGCCGUUAUUGAGUUGACAGGCACUAGAAGAAUACUCACGGGUCUCUGACAGUGGUAACAGGGGAUGGCUUCAUAAGGGGCCGCCCCGAGGCUGGGCUUGAGUGAGCGGGCAUUGUGCACACACAAAAACGAGUGGGCUUUUAACAGCUCACCACAACUCUUUGAGGGGUCCCCCACGCGAGGCGAUGUUUGUGCUGGAACAGUGGUGACCUGUGGAUCACUUCGUCCAUUUGUCCAGGGCGACCUGUUCUGAUCGUUUCCAGACGUGUGGUUGGUUUGAUCCCCUGCGAAGGUUGCUUUCUGACCACUCUUGGGUAUGAACGUCAGCCUCGGUGACUGGUGGUUCGGAUGAAGCUCCUGCUUAGAGGCGCCGGGGGGGUUUCGUUUACUCUGGGUGAUUGGUGACUAAUUCCGGAGCCAUCGGUCACGUCUCGAAACACGGGCCAAGGAGCAUAGCAUGUGCGCAAGUCGAAGGGUCUCACAAAACCCGGAGGCGAAGUGAAAGCAAGAAGGUGUGUCUGUUCAAGCUGCCGUCGUAGCGAGGGCAGACAGCUCGGGGCUCUAUGUAAUUCUCGCUUGGAUGUAUGCAUUCCCAGCUGAUACCGAGCUGAUCCGCCGUUAGCAAGCGAAUUCGCGCAACGGCGGCGCAAGCUCCAGGCUCUCCACAUUGCGUCUGACGUGAGUGGGAGCACUGUGGAGCGUKCAUGCUAUGACCCGAAAGAUAGUGAACUAUGCCUGGCGA